CCUUUGUCCAGAGUCCUUUCUCAGAGGUAUGCAUGAGUGCACCAAAAACGAAUCGCCGGGAGAAAGAAAAGUAAAAGCUGACUUCCUGCGACCUCCCGCCUGCUGGGGCGGAAGAUGGAGGGGCGGGGGUCCUUCCUCUGACUCUUCAGCUUCCGAAGCAGACUCAGUGGCCUCGUCGUUGUAGAAGUGAAUGGUGGCUUGCACGGGGAAACUGGCCAGCACUUUCAUCCCGGAGCUCUGCAGGAAUUCUUGACGCUUCGACAUGGAGUUUUGCUCUCCCAGGCUGUACUACAAUGGCACAAUCUCAGCUCACUGCAACCUCCACCUCCUGGGUUCAAGUGAUUCUCCUGCCUCAGCCUCCCAAGCAGCUGGGAUUACAUGUGAAGUCAGGAGUUCAGUGUUUUCCAGGAAACUACCUCCCUGGCAAUGCCCGAAAAUGACAAGGAUGGAAACACAACAGACACCAAGAAAGGUUGGAAUGCAGUGUCCCAAUCUCAGCUCACUGCAACCUCUGCCUCCUGGGUUCAAGCGAUCCUCCGGUCUCAGCCUCCCAAGUAGCUAGGAUUACUGGCACGCGCCACACCGCCCGGCUAACGUUUGUAUUUUUAGUAGAGACAGGAUUUCACCAUGUUAGUCAGGCUGACAUUGAACUCCUGACCUCGGAUGAUCUCCCUUUCCCCACCUCGGCCUCCCAAAAUUCUGGGAUUACAGGCGUGAGCCACGCGCCUGGCCUACUUGAGGUUUUAUUCUAGUUUUGCUCUGCUUGCCGGGAGCCCUGGUACGGGUCACCAGGCCUUAGCCCUCCUCACCCCCACUGCAGCCAAUGGCAUUUUUGAGAAAUACAGAAUGGGGCUUGGGAACUGGGGAAUUCUCCUGCUUGUCGGGGGAGGGCGCUGUUGAGCAAGAAGCGUUCCUUCCCCAUGCUGGGCUGCGCUAUCGCUGGGCUGCCGGGGAUCGAGCGCGAUGCAGGGUACCAGAGCACCGACUAAGCGCUGGCCGCUCUGCGCGACAAGCUGGACCCAGCAAAGAGCAGGUCCCGGGCUGGGGGUGGGGCGUGGCGGGCUCUUCAGCCCCCAGGGAACACCCACUCUCCCCACACCCACAUCCAUGGACAGAACUACUUCAGCGUGACAGCCUACCAAUCAGUAAGAAAGUUACUAAAGUUUAACGUUUUUCUGCAAGUACAUUUUUCUCACAAACGGACUUAUCAUAACAGAAAACAAAACCAAAAACCAUCUGUCUUACUGAGGAAGCGUGCUAUCGCAUUUUGAUUCUUGCAAACGACUGAUAGGCUCCACAUCCAUUUCACUGAAAAGAACACUGGGUAAUUGUGAACAUCUAUAUUUUCACACAAGCACCUUUACAUUUUAUGUUUAAGAACUAAGUGUGAAUGCGAAACAAGGGAUUAUUUUUUUUCUUUUUCCCCGAACCACAUGGAAUGGAAAUAAGGGAUUAUUUUAAUUAUUUAGAUAUUAUAUGUAUAAAAAAAUGGGGACUGAAAAUCAUACUUUUUUAAACUAAUUUAUAUUUUUAUCUGCUUCCUUCUUUGAAGUAAAUUAAAAUUCCUAAUAUUCAGAUUAAUUUAAUGAAGUCGUCUAAAUAUCAAAAUGUGGUGAAGGCCUGUUUUCCCACACUCGAGUUUUCUUACCAUAUUACAAGUAACAGGCGUUAUGUAAAUUAAAUACAUCGCCUUUCCCAGCCUAAUUCUUCAGUGUUUCAAGAGUCAUCAAGAAAAUAAAUAAAAUAAAAGUCAUCAAUUUAUGUUUUAAAAUAUAACAAAGGAAAGGUAAAUUCUAUGAAAG
Molecule: non-coding RNA, 1802 nt
Organism: Callithrix jacchus (white-tufted-ear marmoset)
Lineage: Eukaryota; Metazoa; Chordata; Mammalia; Primates; Cebidae
Source: RefSeq, a predicted model, not a curated record